Molecule: ribosomal RNA, 639 nt
Filed under: uncultured bacterium
Lineage: Bacteria
Description: bacterial SSU rRNA
Rfam family: Bacterial small subunit ribosomal RNA
Source: RNAcentral
AGGGGCAGCGGGGUAGUGCUUGCACUACUGCCGGCGACCGGCGCACGGGUGAGUAACACGUAUGGAACCUGCCCGCAGCAGGGGGAUAAGCGGAAGAAAUUCCGUCUAAUACCGCGUAACAACGUUGGGAGGCAUCUCCCGAUGUUUAAAGAUUUAUCGGCUGCGGAUGGCCAUGCGGCGCAUUAGCUAGUCGGCGGGGUAACGGCCCACCGAGGCGACGAUGCGUAGGGGUUCUGAGAGGAAGGUCCCCCACACUGGUACUGAGACACGGACCAGACUCCUACGGGAGGCAGCAGUGAGGAAUAUUGGUCAAUGGCCGAGAGGCUGAACCAGCCAAGUCGCGUGAGGGAAGACGGCCCUACGGGUUGUAAACCUCUUUUGUCGGGGAGCAAAGAGAGCCACGUGUGGCUCAUUGAGAGUACCCGAAGAAAAAGCAUCGGCUAACUCCGUGCCAGCAGCCGCGGUAAUACGGAGGAUGCGAGCGUUAUCCGGAUUUAUUGGGUUUAAAGGGUGCGCAGGCGGAGGUGCAAGUCAGCGGUCAAAUUGCGGGGCUCAACCCCGUACUGCCGUUGAAACUGCAUCCCUUGAGUGCGCGAGAAGUAUGCGGAAUGCGUGGUGUAGCGGUGAAAUGCAUAGAUA